UACGUACUCCCUCUGUUCCAAAAUUCUUGUUUUAGAUUUGUCUAAAUAUGGAUAUAUUAAGUCAUGUUUUAGUAUUGGAUACAUCCGUAUCUAAACAAAUUUAAGACAAAAAUUCUUGGACGGAGGAAGUAUUAC
Triticum aestivum (bread wheat) is the source of this 135-nucleotide non-coding RNA. NCBI's taxonomy places the organism in Eukaryota, Viridiplantae, Streptophyta, Magnoliopsida, Poales, Poaceae. The record is from Rfam.